This 498-nucleotide ribosomal RNA is filed under the name uncultured bacterium. RNAcentral describes it as "bacterial SSU rRNA". It matches the Rfam family "Bacterial small subunit ribosomal RNA", at positions 28 to 526 of the family's 1533-position model. The record is from RNAcentral.
GAUGAACGCUAGCGGGAGGCCUAACACAUGCAAGCCGAGCGGUAUAUAUAGCUUGCUAUAUAGAGAGCGGCGUACGGGUGCGUAACGCGUAUGCAACCUGCCCUUAUCAAGAGGAUAGCCCUUCGAAAGGAGGAUUAAUACUUUAUAACAUAGGAAUAGGCAUCUAUUUUUAUUAAAAGAUUUAUUGGAUAAGGAUGGGCAUGCGUCAGAUUAGCUAGUUGGUAAGGUAACGGCUUACCAAGGCGAUGAUCUGUAGGGGGCCUGAGAGGGUGAUCCCCCACACUGGUACUGAGACACGGACCAGACUCCUACGGGAGGCAGCAGGGAGGAAUAUUGGACAAUGGGUGCAAGCCUGAUCCAGCCGUCCCGCGUGCAGGAAGACGGCCCUAUGGGUUGUAAACUGCUUUUAUAUAGGGAUAAACCUACUUUCGUGAGAGUAGCUGAAGGUACUAUAUGAAUAAGCAUCGGCUAACUCCGUGCCAGCCGCCGCAGUAACAC